This 525-nucleotide ribosomal RNA is filed under the name Entamoeba histolytica. Its description in RNAcentral is "SSU rRNA". It matches the Rfam family "Eukaryotic small subunit ribosomal RNA", at positions 385 to 931 of the family's 1831-position model. The record is from RNAcentral. Lineage: Eukaryota; Evosea; Mastigamoebida; Endamoebidae.
GGAGAGGGAGCUUUACAGAUGGCUACCACUUCUAAGGAAGGCAGCAGGCACGUUAAUUACCCACUUUCGAAUUGAAGAGGUAGUCACGACACAUAACUCUAGAGUUGAGUAAAAUCAAUUCUUGAAGGAAUGAGUAGGAGGUAAAUUCUCCUACGAAAUCAUUUGGAGGGCAAGUCUGGUGCCAGCAGCCGCGGUAAUUCCAGCUCCAAUAGUGUAUAUUAAAGUUGCUGUGAUUAAAACGCUCGUAGUUGAAUUAAAAUGUGGUUUUAUACAUUUUGAAGACUUUAUGUAAGUAAAGUUUCUAGAAAUGUUAAAUUAAAAUCUAAGAAGGAAACAAUUCAAGUAAUUGAGUUGUUAUUACUUUGAAUAAAAUAAGGUGUUAAAAGCAAAACAUUAUGUUAAUGAUUAUUCAAGCAUGGGACAAUGCUGAGCGGAUCUCAAUAAGACAUUUCGAGAGAAGGAUAAAAAGGAACAAUUGGGGUGAUUCAGAAAAUAACGGGAGAGGUGAAAAUCCAUGAUCGCUAU